CGAGAGGGGCCAGGCGCCCGGUAGAUCUGAAGCCGGGUAAUGGGAGAAGAUGGUUUACAUCUCGAACGGACAAGUGUUGGACAGCCAGAGUCAGUCUCCAUGGAGAUUAUCUUUCAUAACAGAUUUCUUCUGGGGAAUAGCUGAGUUUGUGGUUUUGUUUUUCAAAACUCUGCUUCAGCAAGAUGUGAAAAAAAGAAGCAGCUAUGGAAACUCAUCUGAUUCCAGAUAUGAUGAUGGAAGAGGGCCACCGGGAAACCCUCCCCGAAGAAUGGGUAGAAUCAAUCAUCUGCGUGGCCCUAGUCCUCCUCCAAUGGCGGGUGGAUGAGGAAGGUAAAUGUCUGCUCUAA
Chlorocebus sabaeus (green monkey) is the source of this 347-nucleotide non-coding RNA. The record is from RefSeq and is a predicted model, not a curated record. NCBI's taxonomy places the organism in Eukaryota, Metazoa, Chordata, Mammalia, Primates, Cercopithecidae.